CCGCCCGUCACAUCACGAAAGGUGGCUGCACUUGAAGUCGUUGGGCUAACCCGCAAGGGAGGCAGGCGCCGAUGGUGUGGUUGAUGAUUGGGGUG
RNAcentral lists this ribosomal RNA (95 nucleotides) under uncultured bacterium. RNAcentral's name for it is "partial 16S ribosomal RNA". The record is from RNAcentral.